RNAcentral lists this ribosomal RNA (450 nucleotides) under Bacillus cereus. Its description in RNAcentral is "bacterial SSU rRNA". It matches the Rfam family "Bacterial small subunit ribosomal RNA", at positions 1 to 438 of the family's 1533-position model. The record is from RNAcentral. Lineage: Bacteria; Bacillati; Bacillota; Bacilli; Caryophanales; Bacillaceae.
UUUAUUGGAGAGUUUGAUCCUGGCUCAGGAUGAACGCUGGCGGCGUGCCUAAUACAUGCAAGUCGAGCGAAUGGAUUAAGAGCUUGCUCUUAUGAAGUUAGCGGCGGACGGGUGAGUAACACGUGGGUAACCUGCCCAUAAGACUGGGAUAACUCCGGGAAACCGGGGCUAAUACCGGAUAACAUUUUGAACCGCAUGGUUCGAAAUUGAAAGGCGGCUUCGGCUGUCACUUAUGGAUGGACCCGCGUCGCAUUAGCUAGUUGGUGAGGUAACGGCUCACCAAGGCAACGAUGCGUAGCCGACCUGAGAGGGUGAUCGGCCACACUGGGACUGAGACACGGCCCAGACUCCUACGGGAGGCAGCAGUAGGGAAUCUUCCGCAAUGGACGAAAGUCUGACGGAGCAACGCCGCGUGAGUGAUGAAGGCUUUCGGGUCGUAAAACUCUGUUG